Molecule: transfer RNA, 72 nt
Filed under: Nilaparvata lugens yeast-like symbiont
Lineage: Eukaryota; Fungi; Ascomycota
Description: tRNA-Arg (ACG) (tRNA-Arg-ACG-1-1)
Rfam family: tRNA
About the family: Transfer RNA (tRNA) molecules are approximately 80 nucleotides in length.
Source: RNAcentral
GGCCGUGUGGCUCAAUGGCAGAGUGUCUGACUACGAAUCAGAAGGUUGCAGGUUCGACCCCUGUCUCGGUCA